GACGGAGGAGGCUAGCGUUGUUCGGAAUUACUGGGCGUAAAGCGUGCGCAGGUUGUGAGAUCAGUUGGAUGUGAAAGCCCGGGGCUUAACCUCGGAUGUGCAUCCAAUACUGUCUCGCUGGAGGUUGGAAGAGGAGAGUGGAAUUCCCAGUGUAGAGGUGAAAUUCGUAGAUAUUGGGAAGAACACCAGUGGCGAAGGCGGCUCUCUGGUCCAUACCUGACACUCAUGCACGAAAGCGUGGGGAGCAAAC
This 250-nucleotide ribosomal RNA is filed under the name uncultured bacterium. RNAcentral's name for it is "partial 16S ribosomal RNA". It matches the Rfam family "Bacterial small subunit ribosomal RNA", at positions 524 to 773 of the family's 1533-position model. RNAcentral also lists the same sequence under 1 other name. The record is from RNAcentral.